Molecule: ribosomal RNA, 513 nt
Filed under: uncultured bacterium
Lineage: Bacteria
Description: partial 16S ribosomal RNA
Rfam family: Bacterial small subunit ribosomal RNA
Source: RNAcentral
GACGAACGCUGGCGGCGUGCUUAACACAUGCAAGUCGAACGAGAGCGUAGAGAAAGCUUGCUUUUUCUACAAUCUAGUGGCAAACGGGUGAGUAACGCGUAAACAACCUGCCCUACGGAUGGGGACAACAGCUGGAAACGGCUGCUAAUACCGAAUACGUUCCGAAAGUCGCAUGACUAUCGGAAGAAAGGAUGGCCUCUAUUUAUAAGCUAUCGCCGGAGGAGGGGUUUGCGUCUGAUUAGCUAGUUGGAGGGGUAACGGCCCACCAAGGCGACGAUCAGUAGCCGGCCUGAGAGGAUGCACGGCCACAUUGGCACGGGGACACGGUCCAGAAUACUACGGGAGGCAGCCGUGGGGAAUCUCCCGCAAUGGGAGCAAGCCUGACGGAGCAACGCCGCGUGAGUGAAGACGGCCUUCGGGUUGUAAAGCUCUGUUAUACGGGACGAAUAAACUUGUGGUUAAUACCCAUGAGAAGUGACGGUACCGUAAGAGAAAGCCACGGCUAACUACGUG